AUAAUGAUACUUCCGUAAUUCGCGGUCGGGCCAUAAAGAAGGCGCGAGGGUGAGACUCCCAUGG
Molecule: regulatory RNA element, 64 nt
Rfam family: pemK RNA
Source: Rfam